This 2520-nucleotide ribosomal RNA is filed under the name Acinetobacter baumannii 25878_1. Its description in RNAcentral is "bacterial LSU rRNA". It matches the Rfam family "Bacterial large subunit ribosomal RNA", at positions 14 to 2570 of the family's 2925-position model. The record is from RNAcentral. Lineage: Bacteria; Pseudomonadati; Pseudomonadota; Gammaproteobacteria; Moraxellales; Moraxellaceae.
AGUGCAUGUGGUGGAUGCCUUGGCAGUCAGAGGCGAUGAAAGACGUGAUAGCCUGCGAAAAGCUCCGGGGAGGCGGCAAAUAUCCUUUGAUCCGGAGAUGUCUGAAUGGGGGAACCCACCUACUUUAAGGUAGGUAUUGCAACAUGAAUACAUAGUGUUGCAAGGCGAACGAGGGGAAGUGAAACAUCUCAGUACCCUUAGGAAAAGAAAUCAAUUGAGAUUCCCUCAGUAGCGGCGAGCGAACGGGGAUCAGCCCAUUAAGUUAUGUGUGUUUUAGUGGAACGCUCUGGGAAGUGCGAACGUAGAGGGUGAUAUUCCCGUACACGAAAGGGCACACAUAAUGAUGACGAGUAGGGCGAGGCACGUGAAACCUUGUCUGAAUAUGGGGGGACCAUCCUCCAAGGCUAAAUACUCCUGACUGACCGAUAGUGAACCAGUACCGUGAGGGAAAGGCGAAAAGAACCCCUGUGAGGGGAGUGAAAUAGAUCCUGAAACCGCAUGCAUACAAGCAGUGGGAGCACCUUCGUGGUGUGACUGCGUACCUUUUGUAUAAUGGGUCAGCGACUUAUAUUCAGUAGCGAGGUUAACCGUAUAGGGGAGCCGUAGAGAAAUCGAGUCUUAAUAGGGCGUUUAGUUGCUGGGUAUAGACCCGAAACCAGGCGAUCUAUCCAUGAGCAGGUUGAAGGUUGGGUAACACUAACUGGAGGACCGAACCCACUGUCGUUGAAAAGCCAGGGGAUGACUUGUGGAUAGGGGUGAAAGGCUAAUCAAGCCUGGUGAUAGCUGGUUCUCCCCGAAAGCUAUUUAGGUAGCGCCUCGGACGAAUACCAUAGGGGGUAGAGCACUGUUUCGGCUAGGGGGUCAUCCCGACUUACCAAACCGAUGCAAACUCCGAAUACCUAUGAGUACUAUCCGGGAGACAGACUGCGGGUGCUAACGUCCGUAGUCAAGAGGAAAACAAUCCAGACCGCCAGCUAAGGCCCCAAAAUCAUAGUUAAGUGGGAAACGAUGUGGGAAGGCAUAGACAGCUAGGAGGUUGGCUUAGAAGCAGCCACCCUUUAAAGAAAGCGUAAUAGCUCACUAGUCGAGUCGGCCUGCGCGGAAGAUGUAACGGGGCUAAAACUAUGUGCCGAAGCUGCGGAUGUAUACUUUGUAUACGUGGUAGGGGAGCGUUCUGUAAGCCGAUGAAGGUGUGUUGAGAAGCAUGCUGGAGGUAUCAGAAGUGCGAAUGCUGACGUGAGUAACGACAAAACGGGUGAAAAACCCGUUCGCCGAAAGACCAAGGGUUCCAGUCCAACGUUAAUCGGGGCUGGGUGAGUCGACCCCUAAGGCGAGGCCGAAAGGCGUAGUCGAUGGGAAAAUGGUUAAUAUUCCAUUACUUCUGUGUAAUGCGAUGAGAGGACGGAGAAGGCUAAAUCAGCCUGGCGUUGGUUGUCCAGGUGAAAGGAUGUAGGCAUGUAUCUUAGGCAAAUCCGGGGUACUCUAUGCUGAGAUCUGAUAGCAAGCUGUACUUGUACAGCGAAGUGGUUGAUGCCAUGCUUCCAGGAAAAGUCUCUAAGCUUCAGUUACACAGGAAUCGUACCCGAAACCGACACAGGUGGUCAGGUCGAGUAGACCAAGGCGCUUGAGAGAACUCUGCUGAAGGAACUAGGCAAAAUGGUACCGUAACUUCGGGAGAAGGUACGCUGUUGUUGGUGAUGGAACUCGCUUCCUGAGCUGACGACAGCCGCAGAAACCAGGCCGCUGCAACUGUUUAUUAAAAACAUAGCACUCUGCAAACACGAAAGUGGACGUAUAGGGUGUGAUGCCUGCCCGGUGCUGGAAGGUUAAUUGAUGGGGUUAGCGUAAGCGAAGCUCUUGAUCGAAGCCCCAGUAAACGGCGGCCGUAACUAUAACGGUCCUAAGGUAGCGAAAUUCCUUGUCGGGUAAGUUCCGACCUGCACGAAUGGCAUAAUGAUGGCGGCGCUGUCUCCAGCAGAGGCUCAGUGAAAUCGAAAUCGCUGUGAAGAUGCAGUGUACCCGCGGCUAGACGGAAAGACCCCGUGAACCUUUACUGCAGCUUGACACUGAACUUUGACCUUACUUGUGUAGGAUAGGUGGGAGGCUUUGAAGCUGGAACGCUAGUUCCAGUGGAGCCGUCCUUGAAAUACCACCCUGGUAAUGUUGAGGUUCUAACUCUGUCCCGUGAUCCGGGACGAGGACCGUGUCUGGUGGGUAGUUUGACUGGGGCGGUCUCCUCCUAAAGAGUAACGGAGGAGUACGAAGGUGCGCUCAGCGUGGUCGGAAAUCACGCGUAGAGUAUAAAGGCAAAAGCGCGCUUAACUGCGAGACCCACAAGUCGAGCAGGUACGAAAGUAGGUCUUAGUGAUCCGGUGGUUCUGUAUGGAAGGGCCAUCGCUCAACGGAUAAAAGGUACUCUGGGGAUAACAGGCUGAUACCGCCCAAGAGUUCAUAUCGACGGCGGUGUUUGGCACCUCGAUGUCGGCUCAUCUCAUCCUGGGGCUGAAGCAGGUCCCAAGG